CUACGGGUUGCUGCAGUGGGGAAUAUUGCACAAUGGAGGAAACUCUGAUGCAGCAACGCCGCGUGGAGGAUGACACAUUUCGGUGCGUAAACUCCUUUUAUAUGAGAAGAUAAUGACGGUAUCAUAUGAAUAAGCACCGGCUAACUCCGUGCCAGCAGCCGCGGUAAUACGGGGGGUGCAAGCGUUACUCGGAAUCACUGGGCGUAAAGAGCAUGUAGGCGGAUAGAAAAGUUGGAAGUGAAAUCCUGUGGCUUAACCAUAGAACUGCUUCCAAAACUCUCUAUCUAGAAUAUGGGAGAGGUAGAUGGAAUUUCUGGUGUAGGGGUAAAAUCCGUAGAGAUCAGAAGGAAUACCGAUUGCGAAGGCGAUCUACUGGAACAUUAUUGACGCUGAGAUGCGAAAGCGUGGGGAGCAAACAGGAUUAGAUACCCCAGUAGUC
This 439-nucleotide ribosomal RNA is filed under the name uncultured bacterium. Its description in RNAcentral is "partial 16S ribosomal RNA". It matches the Rfam family "Bacterial small subunit ribosomal RNA", at positions 339 to 795 of the family's 1533-position model. The record is from RNAcentral.